AGAGAUUUAAGUUAAUAAAACUAAUAGCCUUCAAAGCUUUAAUUGAUAUUAAAAAUCAAUCUCUAC
RNAcentral lists this transfer RNA (66 nucleotides) under Lampsilis powellii. Its description in RNAcentral is "tRNA-Trp". The record is from RNAcentral. Lineage: Eukaryota; Metazoa; Mollusca; Bivalvia; Unionida; Unionidae.